GGUCUAGUAGCUCAGUUGGUUAGAGCGUUGGCUGUACUAAAGCCCUCUCCUGUCGGACGUAGGUUCAAAUCCCAUCGAGACCG
Molecule: transfer RNA, 83 nt
Filed under: Schistocephalus solidus
Lineage: Eukaryota; Metazoa; Platyhelminthes; Cestoda; Diphyllobothriidea; Diphyllobothriidae
Rfam family: tRNA
About the family: Transfer RNA (tRNA) molecules are approximately 80 nucleotides in length. Their secondary structure includes four short double-helical elements and three loops (D, anti-codon, and T loops).
Source: Rfam by way of RNAcentral